This 449-nucleotide ribosomal RNA is filed under the name uncultured bacterium. Its description in RNAcentral is "partial 16S ribosomal RNA". It matches the Rfam family "Bacterial small subunit ribosomal RNA", at positions 29 to 523 of the family's 1533-position model. The record is from RNAcentral.
AACGAACGCUGGCGGCAGGCUUAACACAUGCAAAUCGAGCGGGCCCGCAAGGGUCAGCGGCGGACGGGUUAGUAACGCGUGGGAACGUGCCUUUUGCUUCGGAAUAGCCCUGGGAAACUGGGGGUAAUACCGGAUGUGCCCUGAGGGGGAAAGAUUUAUCGGCAAGAGAUCGGCCCGCGUUGGAUUAGGUAGUUGGUGGGGUAACGGCCCACCAAGCCGACGAUCCAUAGCCGGUUUGAGAGGAUGAUCAGCAACACUGGGACUGAGACACGGCCCAGACUCCUACGGGAGGCAGCAGUGGGGAAUCUUAGACAAUGGGCGCAAGCCUGAUCUAGCCAUGCCGCGUGGGUGAUGAAGGCCUUAGGGUCGUAAAGCCCUUUCGCCGGGGAAGAUAAUGACGGUACCCGGUAAAGAAACCCCGGCUAACUCCGUGCCAGCCGCCGCGGUAA